GAAUUUUGCGCAAUGGGGGAAACCCUGACGCAGCAACGCCAUGUGUGGGAUGAAGCAUUUCGGUGUGUAAACCACUGUCAGCGGGGAAUAAAUGGUCUCUUCGGAGGCAGUUGAAUGUACCCGCAAAGGAAGCCCCGGCUAACUUCGUGCCAGCAGCCGCGGUAAUACGAGGGGGGCAAAUGUUGCUCGGAAUUACUGGGCGUAAAGGGAGCGUAGGCGGGCUCUUAAGUUAGGUGUUUAAUCCCGGGGCCCAACCCCGGACAGGCACCUAAAACUGGGAGUCUUGAAUAGUGGAGAGGUCGGUGGAAUUGGGGGUGUAGCGGUGGAAUGCGUAGAGAUCCCCAAGAACACUAGUUGCGAAGGCGGCCGACUGGACACAUAUUGACGCUGAGGCUCGAAAGCAUGGGGAGCAAACAGG
This 418-nucleotide ribosomal RNA is filed under the name uncultured bacterium. RNAcentral describes it as "bacterial SSU rRNA". It matches the Rfam family "Bacterial small subunit ribosomal RNA", at positions 359 to 776 of the family's 1533-position model. The record is from RNAcentral.